RNAcentral lists this transfer RNA (73 nucleotides) under Fidelibacterota bacterium. Its description in RNAcentral is "tRNA-Met". It matches the Rfam family "tRNA". Rfam says of the family: Transfer RNA (tRNA) molecules are approximately 80 nucleotides in length. Lineage: Bacteria; Pseudomonadati; Fidelibacterota. The record is from RNAcentral.
GGCGGUGUAGCUCAGUGGUAAGAGCAGCGGCUUCAUAAGCCGUGUGUCGUAGGUUCAAAUCCCACCACCGCUA